CCUACGGGUGGCAGCAGUCGAGAAUCAUUCACAAUGGGGGAAACCCUGAUGGGGCGACGCCGCGUGGGGGAAUGAAGGUCUGCGGAUUGUAAACCCCUGUCAUGUGGGAGCAAAGUAAAAAGAUAGUACCACAAGAGGAAGAGACGGCUAACUCUGGGCCAGCAGCCGCGGUAAGACAGAGGUCUCAAGCGUUGUUCGGAAUCACUGGGCGUAAAGCGUGCGUAGGCGGUUUCGUAAGUCGUGUGUGAAAGGCGCGGGCUCACCCCGCGGACGGCACAUGAGACUGCGAGACGAGAGUAAUGGAGGGGCAACCGGCCUUCUCGGUGUAGCCGUGCCAUGCGUAGAUAUCGAGAG
RNAcentral lists this ribosomal RNA (354 nucleotides) under uncultured bacterium. RNAcentral describes it as "partial 16S ribosomal RNA". It matches the Rfam family "Bacterial small subunit ribosomal RNA", at positions 338 to 703 of the family's 1533-position model. The record is from RNAcentral.